GUGUCAGCAGCCGCGGUAAUACGGGGGGAGCAAGCGUUGUUCGGAUUUACUGGGCGUAAAGGGCGCGUAGGCGGCGUGGUAAGUCACUUGUGAAAUCUCCGAGCUUAACUCGGAACGGUCAAGUGAUACUGCUGUGCUAGAGUGCGGAAGGGGCAACUGGAAUUCUCGGUGUAGCGGUGAAAUGCGUAGAUAUCGAGAGGAACACCUGCGGCGAAGGCGGGUUGCUGGGCCGACACUGACGCUGAGGCGCGAAAGCUAGGGGAGCGAACGGGAUUAGAUACCCCGGUAGUCCUAGCCUUAAACGAUGAAUGCUUGGUGUCUGGAGUAUUUAGUCUCCGGGUGCCGUCGCUAACGCUUUUAGCAUUCCGCCUGGGGAGUACGGUCGCAAGACUGAA
RNAcentral lists this ribosomal RNA (395 nucleotides) under uncultured bacterium. Its description in RNAcentral is "bacterial SSU rRNA". It matches the Rfam family "Bacterial small subunit ribosomal RNA", at positions 505 to 898 of the family's 1533-position model. The record is from RNAcentral.